AGCGGCGGACGGGUGAGUAACACGUGGGUAACCUGCCCAAGAGACUGGGAUAACACCUGGAAACAGAUGCUAAUACCGGAUAACAACACUAGACGCAUGUCUAGAGUUUGAAAGAUGGUUCUGCUAUCACUCUUGGAUGGACCUGCGGUGCAUUAGCUAGUUGGUAAGGUAACGGCUUACCAAGGCAAUGAUGCAUAGCCGAGCUGAGAGACUGAUCGGCCACAUUGGGACUGAGACACGGCCCAAACUCCUACGGGAGGCAGCAGUAGGGAAUCUUCCACAAUGGACGAAAGUCUGAUGGAGCAACGCCGCGUGAGUGAAGAAGGGUUUCGGCUCGUAAAGCUCUGUUGGUAGUGAAGAAAGAUAGAGGUAGUAACUGGCCUUUAUUUGACGGUAAUUACUUAGAAAGUCACGGCUAACUACGUGCCAGCAGCCGCGGUAAUACGUAGGUGGCAAGCGUUGUCCGGAUUUAUUGGGCGUAAAGCGAGUGCAGGCGGUUCAAUAAGUCUGAUGUGAAAGCCUUCGGCUCAACCGGAGAAUUGCAUCAGAAACUGUUGAACUUGAGUGCAGAAGAGGAGAGUGGAACUCCAUGUGUAGCGGUGGAAUGCGAAGAUAUAUGGAAGAACACCAGUGGCGAAGGCGGCUCUCUGGUCUGCAACUGACGCUGAGGCUCGAAAGCAUGGGUGGCGAACAGGAUUAGAUACCCUGGUAGUCCAUGCCGUAAACGAUGAGUGCUAAGUGU
This 742-nucleotide ribosomal RNA is filed under the name uncultured bacterium. Its description in RNAcentral is "bacterial SSU rRNA". It matches the Rfam family "Bacterial small subunit ribosomal RNA", at positions 94 to 823 of the family's 1533-position model. The record is from RNAcentral.